UACGGGGGGAGCAAGCGUUGUUCGGAUUUACUGGGCGUAAAGGGCGCGUAGGCGGCCAGCACAAGUCAGUUGUGAAAUCUCCGAGCUUAACUCGGAAAGGUCAACUGAUACUGUGCGGCUAGAGUGCGGAAGGGGCAACUGGAAUUCCCGGUGUAGCGGUGAAAUGCGCAGAUAUCGGGAGGAACACCGAUGGCGAAGGCAGCACUCUGGGCCGGUACUGACGCUGAGGAGCGAAAGCGUGGGGAGCGAACAGG
This 254-nucleotide ribosomal RNA is filed under the name uncultured bacterium. Its description in RNAcentral is "partial 16S ribosomal RNA". It matches the Rfam family "Bacterial small subunit ribosomal RNA", at positions 524 to 776 of the family's 1533-position model. The record is from RNAcentral.